CACAUGCAAGUCGAGGGGUAACAGGGUAGCAAUACCGCUGGCGACCGGCGCACGGGUGAGUAACGCGUAUGCAACCUGCCUAUAACUGGGGAAUAGCUCCCUGAAAGGGGAAUUAACACCGCAUAACACUAUUGAUUCGCAUGGAUUGGUAGUUAAAUGUAGCGAUACAGGUUAUAGAUGGGCAUGCGUGACAUUAGCUAGUUGGUGAGGUAACGGCUCACCAAGGCUACGAUGUCUAGGGGUUCUGAGAGGAAGGUCCCCCACACUGGUACUGAGACACGGACCAGACUCCUACGGGAGGCAGCAGUGAGGAAUAUUGGUCAAUGGGCGCAAGCCUGAACCAGCCAUGUCGCGUGCAGGAAGACUGCCCCUAUGGGUUGUAAACUGCUUUUAUAGUAGAAGAAACACAUCUACGUGUAGAUGUCUGCCAGUAUACUAUGAAUAAGCAUCGGCUAACUCCGUGCCAGCAGCUGC
Molecule: ribosomal RNA, 474 nt
Filed under: uncultured bacterium
Lineage: Bacteria
Description: bacterial SSU rRNA
Rfam family: Bacterial small subunit ribosomal RNA
Source: RNAcentral